UUAAUUCGACGCAACGCGAAGAACCUUACCAGGUCUUGACAUCUUUUGCUACUUCCAGAGAUGGAAGGUUCCCCUUCGGGGGACAAAAUGACAGGUGGUGCAUGGUUGUCGUCAGCUCGUGUCGUGAGAUGUUGGGUUAAGUCCCGCAACGAGCGCAACCCUUAAUCUUAGUUGCCAGCAUUCAGUUGGGCACUCUAAGGUGACUGCCGGUGACAAACCGGAGGAAGGUGGGGAUGACGUCAAAUCAUCAUGCCCCUUAUGACCUGGGCUACACACGUGCUACAAUGGAUGGUACAGAGGGGAGCGAAGCCGUGAGGUGAAGCGAAUCUCAAAAAGCCAUUCUCAGUUCGGACUGCAGGCUGCAACUCGCCUGCA
RNAcentral lists this ribosomal RNA (375 nucleotides) under Salibacterium salarium. RNAcentral's name for it is "Bacillus salarius Bacterial small subunit ribosomal RNA". It matches the Rfam family "Bacterial small subunit ribosomal RNA", at positions 946 to 1320 of the family's 1533-position model. The record is from Rfam by way of RNAcentral. Lineage: Bacteria; Bacillati; Bacillota; Bacilli; Caryophanales; Bacillaceae.